Alnus glutinosa is the source of this 684-nucleotide long non-coding RNA. RefSeq lists it as uncharacterized. The record is from RefSeq and is a predicted model, not a curated record. The transcript has 4 exons. NCBI's taxonomy places the organism in Eukaryota, Viridiplantae, Streptophyta, Magnoliopsida, Fagales, Betulaceae.
UAUGUUAUGGGCUUGUGAGUAAGGUAUCUAGUAUGAGAGGGAAUUAUGAAAAGAAAAAAGGGGGCCCGGGAGUGGACACUACUUUCUUUGGACGAAGCUUGCAAGAUGAUUAUGACCGGUCCAUCAACGAGGCUAUCAAGAUAACCAAACGAAAACAAGACAAUUUCACAUGCUUCACAUGCUUCUCAACAUGACAAUUUCAGUGCCCCAUCUCCCACAUCACCUGAUUUGGAUGAUGCUCAGGAAGAGGAUAAAGCAGAAGCAUUGGAUAGAAGCAAUCGGCGGAGACAGAGACCGCAACGGUAUUCCGCAAAAGAGUUUGUUGAAGCAGUUUCAGAUAAUGAGGCAGACUAUGACAGUGAUGACGAGAUAGUAGGCCAGGGGAAGCUGUUUAUGAUGAGGAAUGUCUGAGGAAACGUAAAGAGAGGAGGAAGCUGUCUAGUAGUUCUGAAGGAGAUGAGGAGUAUCGUUGGGAGUUCGUUAGUCAUCCAAUCAAUGUACAAUAACCAUUAACUAAUAUUGUAACUGAUAAAAUUUGCCCCAUCAAAUUUUCGAGCCAUGUAGUUUUUAUCUCGUGUUCAUGACAAUGAUGUGCCAUUGAGGCUGAGCAUUUGGGUUGGUUGGGUCUGUUGAUAAAGCAUCAGGUUAGAAACUGUUGUGUUUAUUGUAAUGGACCAUCCUCCC